This 492-nucleotide ribosomal RNA is filed under the name uncultured bacterium. RNAcentral's name for it is "partial 16S ribosomal RNA". It matches the Rfam family "Bacterial small subunit ribosomal RNA", at positions 29 to 507 of the family's 1533-position model. The record is from RNAcentral.
AGUGAACGCUGGCGGUAGGCCUAACACAUGCAAGUCGAACGGCAGCACAGUAAGAGCUUGCUCUUACGGGUGGCGAGUGGCGGACGGGUGAGGAAUACAUCGGAAUCUACUUUUUCGUGGGGGAUAACGUAGGGAAACUUACGCUAAUACCGCAUACGACCUACGGGUGAAAGCAGGGGAUCUUCGGACCUUGCGCGAUUGAAUGAGCCGAUGUCGGAUUAGCUAGUUGGCGGGGUAAAGGCCCACCAAGGCGACGAUCCGUAGCUGGUCUGAGAGGAUGAUCAGCCACACUGGAACUGAGACACGGUCCAGACUCCUACGGGAGGCAGCGGUGGGGAAUAUUGGACAAUGGGCGCAAGCCUGAUCCAGCCAUACCGCGUGGGUGAAGAAGGCCUUCGGGUUGUAAAGCCCUUUUGUUGGGAAAGAAAAGCGGCAGGUUAAUACCCCGCUGUUCUGACGGUACCCAAAGAAUAAGCACCGGCUAACUUCGUG